UGCCAGCCGCCGCGGUAAUACGGAGGGGGUUAGCGUUGUUCGGAAUUACUGGGCGUAAAGCGCACGUAGGCGGAUUAGUAAGUUAGGGGUGAAAUCCCGGGGCUCAACCCCGGAACUGCCUCUAAUACUGCUGGUCUAGAGUCCGGGAGAGGUGCAUGGAAUUCCGAGUGUAGAGGUGAAAUUCGUAGAUAUUCGGAGGAACACCAGUGGCGAAGGCGGCUCACUGGCUCGAUACUGACGCUGAGGUGCGAAAGUGUGGGGAGCAAACAGGAUUAGAUG
This 279-nucleotide ribosomal RNA is filed under the name uncultured bacterium. RNAcentral describes it as "partial 16S ribosomal RNA". It matches the Rfam family "Bacterial small subunit ribosomal RNA", at positions 506 to 784 of the family's 1533-position model. The record is from RNAcentral.